Molecule: long non-coding RNA, 246 nt
Organism: Mustela erminea (ermine)
Lineage: Eukaryota; Metazoa; Chordata; Mammalia; Carnivora; Mustelidae
Exons: 3
Source: RefSeq, a predicted model, not a curated record
GACCCUGAGAUCGCCGCGCUCUCCCCCCUCCCGGCGCCCACCCCCGCGGGGGCUCUCCCGCGAAGGGUUUCCCCCCGCGGGGGCGCGCUGGUGUUGGGGGGGGGCGGGCCGCCCCUCCCACGGCGUGACUGCUCCCCCACCCCACCCCCGCCCCCGGCAACGGGGUGUGUGGGGGAUCGGGGCAGACUGUCCCCAGUGCGCCCUGGGCGGGUGGCGCCAUCGGCCCGGGGGGAUGUUCUCUCUGGG